AAAGUCGUAACAAGGUCUCCGUAGGUGAACCUGCGGAGGGAUCAUUCACAUGAUUUAUCUUUUUAAACAAACCGUGAACUUUAUAACAAAACUAUUCGUGUGAUUAUUUUUUUAAAUUUUCACACUGUCAUUCGAUCUGAACAUAAAGAUAGUUGGCUUGUUUUUUUAUUAAAACUUUCUCAGCUUGAUUCAUUGUGAAACUAAACACUUCAUAAUAAUCACCAAUAAACAUAGAAACAACUCUAUGCCCUGGAUAUCUUGGUUCUC
Molecule: unclassified non-coding RNA, 267 nt
Filed under: Ascomycota sp.
Lineage: Eukaryota; Fungi; Ascomycota
Description: partial contains small subunit ribosomal RNA, internal transcribed spacer 1, and 5.8S ribosomal RNA
Rfam family: Eukaryotic small subunit ribosomal RNA (bases 1-47)
Source: RNAcentral